This 253-nucleotide ribosomal RNA is filed under the name uncultured bacterium. RNAcentral describes it as "partial 16S ribosomal RNA". It matches the Rfam family "Bacterial small subunit ribosomal RNA", at positions 524 to 776 of the family's 1533-position model. The record is from RNAcentral.
UACGUAGGGGGCAAGCGUUGUCCGGAUUUACUGGGCGUAAAGGGCGCGUAGGUGGCGGGACAAGCGUGCGGUGAAAGCCUGGGGCUCAACCCCGGGUCGGCCGUGCGAACUGUUUUGCUUGAGCACUGUAGAGGCAGGCGGAAUUCCGGGUGUAGCGGUGGAAUGCGUAGAGAUCCGGAAGAACACCGGUGGCGAAGGCGGCCUGCUGGGCAGUAGCUGACACUGAGGCGCGACAGCGUGGGGAGCAAACAGG